RNAcentral lists this unclassified non-coding RNA (2929 nucleotides) under Drosophila pseudoobscura pseudoobscura. Its description in RNAcentral is "GA20443". The record is from RNAcentral. Lineage: Eukaryota; Metazoa; Arthropoda; Insecta; Diptera; Drosophilidae.
UAUCUGUAAAUCACUAACACUCACAGAAAAAAUUUUCAGGGCUUAGAAUUUGCAUCACGCUCUCCCUUUGAAUUCGCUGUCGAAAGUUUAAUUUAGUCGGGAACACUUACGAUGAGCGCUCCAAGCAACAAAAUGUCGGCAACAGAUCAGAUGCGGGCUAUGCUGGAUCAGUUAAUGGGUACCACCCGUAACGGAGACGAGCGACAGCUGAAGUUUUCGGAUACACGCGUCUGCAAGUCGUUCCUGCUGGACUGCUGCCCCCACGACAUACUGGCAUCCACACGCAUGGAUCUCGGUGAGUGUCCCAAAGUGCAUGAUCUGGCUUUUCGUGCAGAUUACGAGAGUGCGGCCAAGUCGCGAGACUUCUACUACGACAUCGAGGCCAUGGAGCACCUGCAGGCCUUCAUUGCGGACUGCGACCGACGCACAGACUCGGCCAAGCAGCGGCUGAAGGAGACACAGGAGGAGCUGACCGCCGAGGUGGCCGAGAAGGCCAAUGCCGUCCACGCCCUCGCCGAGGAGAUCGGCAAGAAGCUGGCCAAAGCCGAGGCCCUGGGCGAGGCCGGUGAAGUGGAGGACAGCAUGGAGCUGAUGAAGGAGAUCGACGAGCUGCGCAGCAAGAAGAUCAAGGCCGAGCACGAGUACCGCACCUCGAUGCCCGCCUCUACGUACCAGCAGCAGAAGCUGCGCGUCUGCGAGGUCUGUUCCGCAUACCUGGGGAUCCACGACAACGACAUCCGUUUGGCGGACCACUUUGGUGGUAAGUUGCAUCUCGGCUUCCUCACCAUUCGAGAGAAGCUGAUCGAACUGGAGAAGACCGCUGCCCCGCGCAAGGUCGAGCUGAAGCGCACGGGUAAGAUACCAGAUCGUGACGAGGAGGGCCGAGGCGGCAGAAAUCGCUACUUUGUAGGUGGCCGUGAGCUAGACCGCCGAUCCCGGGUGCAUCGCUCGCGUUCCAGGGAGCGCCAGCGUCAACGGGAAUCGGAGCGCGGCGACCGGGACCGGGAGCGAGGCAACAGCAGCAGCAAUGGGAAGGCCGAAGGCAGCACUGAGCGUUCGUCCAAGGAGGCGCCAGAGGGACCGGACCGUGGCAGCGGCGGCGGUGGGCAGCGCGGUGGACGCGACAAUGAUCGCAUCAAUCGCAACAAUGACGGCCGGGAUCAUCGCGACCGAGAGCGCGAUGGACGACGAGACAGGGAUCGUCAUAUGCGUAACGACAGAGGACGCUUUGGUGGCGGCGGUGGAGGAGGCAGUGGUGGCGGCGAUCGCCGGGAUGACAGACGUCGCUCUCGUUCCAGAGACCGAUCGCCGCGUGGCGAGAGGCGAAACUACAAUCAUUUCGCUGGUAAUCACAACAACAAUCAUAGCAGCAACAACAAUCACCACAACAACAACAACAACAGACGGCGCUCCUACUCCCGCGAGCGCUACCGCCGUUAGGAGAGGCCCCCUGCGCACGUACGUAGAAAUAAUCCGAAUCAGAAACAGAAAAACAGGCACUACAAUCUGAAACUAAGAGAACACUAAUGAAGCACUCAGAAAUUAAAAAGAAAAAACCCUGGAACAAUAAAUUAAUAUAGCCGCUCCUUCAGACAGACACUCCGAUGUAGAGAUGAACAUUUGUAAAUUGUUAAUAAUCUCUUAUUUUUUAUCUUACUCUCCCAACCUCUUAAGACCGAAUAAAGCCUAAGCUCUGUUAACCAAACCGAAAAACCCAAUCCAAUCCAAUCCAACAAAAAUUAAAACUAAACCCGACCGAAAGCGAGAGAGAGAGAGAGAGAGAGAAAUGGCCUUACCGAAGCAUACAUACAUAUAUGAGAGUGCAUAUGAUAAUGAUUUGAUAGUCCCUCGAUCCUCGUUGAGAGGGGUUUUUUGGUAUGUAGAGACACACCCGAACGUAGAAGAACCCACCACCCAGUCCCCGAACGACAUCACAUCACAGUGUUGCCAAUUUUAGUAUAGAUAUUUGAUAUUGUAGAAUAUACAUACAUAUAUACAUAGAACUAGGAGAAGACCUCCUCAAACUGACAGUACAGUCCUCCGACUGCCUAGCGAGCCAUUUGCUUCAACAGAAUGAUAUAGUACCCUAUAUAGUACUCUAUGAAUAUCGGGCAUGAAGGAGCUAUAUUUAUAUAGCACAUAUAUAUAUGUAGCUGUGAAGGAGGGACCUUUUUAUACUAGUUGGUAACACUGUACAAACCCAUUCGACUCGUAAUAUACUCGUAAUAUACUCCCAGCUCUUAGCUCUAUUAUCUCUCUUUAUUGAUUCCAACCGAGGCGAAUCGCUGUACGAGCUUUUGGGGUAAGCCUCAACCAUAUAUAAAAACUCUUUCUCUAUCUGUAAUCUUCUCUACUUGAAGUUCCACAAUUUUGCAGCCCACACUCAGCUUUUUUUGGUACGUAUUGAGUAAAUAAAUAUCCAUAUAAACACCAGAAGACGUACGUACGUCCUACUCUAGCAUUAACGUUAGUGUUGUCUUGGCAGAUACUAUAUACUCAUUCGUUCGUUCGUUCGUUCGUACAUGCAUUUGACAUAGAUAAUAUCCAAUCCAGAUAAUCCAAUAUGAUACACGAUAGCUUUGGGUACGUAUCUACUCCGGCCGUUAAGAGAGAGAGAAAAAGAGAGAGUUCUGUAUUUCGUUUCGUUUUGUGUUGGGUACGUAUUAACGUUAGAGAAGAAAUGAUAUAUGUACGAUAUGAUAUGGUAAUGAUGAAAUGAUCUAGAGAUCGCAGAUCGCAGUGUGGUACGUAUGUAUACUGUAAUAUAUAUACAAUACUCAACCGUAAGCAGACAGACAGACAGAAGGCUUUAAUAGGGGUUGUCGGAGAUGCAGAUCCCAACCGGUUUAAAGGAGUUUUUAACAUACAAUAAUCUCGUAUUUCUCAUGCCAAAUGGUGGUGCUCUCUGCUCUGCAAAUGCCACAGAAUC